Molecule: microRNA precursor, 208 nt
Filed under: Oryza sativa Indica Group (long-grained rice)
Lineage: Eukaryota; Viridiplantae; Streptophyta; Magnoliopsida; Poales; Poaceae
Description: MIR812 microRNA precursor family
Rfam family: MIR812 microRNA precursor family
Source: Rfam by way of RNAcentral
AAAAAAUGCAAACUCUGGGUUUCCGUGUCCAACUUUGACUGUCCGUCUUAUAUGAAAUUUUUUUAUAAUUUGUAUUUUCAUUGUUGUUAGAUGAUAAAACAUGAUUAAUAUUUUAUACAUGACUUGUCUUUUUUAAUUUUUUUCAUAAUUUUUUCAAAUAAGACGGACGGUCAAAUGUUGGACACGGAAACCAGGGUUUGUAUUUUUU